This 221-nucleotide ribosomal RNA is filed under the name uncultured fungus. RNAcentral describes it as "partial small subunit ribosomal RNA". The stretch from base 107 to 221 matches the Rfam family "Eukaryotic small subunit ribosomal RNA", at positions 748 to 864 of the family's 1831-position model. The record is from RNAcentral. Lineage: Eukaryota; Fungi.
GGUCGAUGCAGUCGGUCCGUCCCUCACGGGAUGUGUACAUGAGUUUGUGUCGGCCAUCCUCGAGGGAAACGCAUCUGGCAUUAAGUUGUCGGGUGCGGGUUCCUCGUCAUUUACUGUGAGCAAAAUAGAGUGUUCAAAGCAGGCUUAUGCCGUUGAAUACAUUAGCAUGGAAUAAUAAGAUACGACCUUGGGUCUAUUUUGUUGGUUUGCGGUCCGAGGUA